RNAcentral lists this unclassified non-coding RNA (307 nucleotides) under plant metagenome. RNAcentral describes it as "partial contains 5.8S ribosomal RNA, internal transcribed spacer 2, and large subunit ribosomal RNA". The stretch from base 1 to 105 matches the Rfam family "5.8S ribosomal RNA", at positions 50 to 154 of the family's 154-position model. The record is from RNAcentral.
GAAAUGCGAUAAGUAAUGUGAAUUGCAGAAUUCCGUGAAUCAUCGAAUCUUUGAACGCACAUUGCGCCCCCUGGUAUUCCGGAGGGCAUGCCUGUUCGAGCGUCAUUUGUACCCUCAAGCUUUGCUUGGUGUUGGGCGUCUUGUCUCUAGCUUUGCUGGAGACUCGCCUUAAAGUAAUUGGCAGCCGGCCUACUGGUUUCGGAGCGCAGCACAAGUCGCACUCUCUAUCAGCAAAGGUCUAGCAUCCAUUAAGCCUUUUUUCAACUUUUGACCUCGGAUCAGGUAGGGAUACCCGCUGAACUUAAGC